Molecule: ribosomal RNA, 506 nt
Filed under: uncultured bacterium
Lineage: Bacteria
Description: partial 16S ribosomal RNA
Rfam family: Bacterial small subunit ribosomal RNA
Source: RNAcentral
AGUGAACGCUGGCGGUAGGCCUAACACAUGCAAGUCGAACGGCAGCACAGGAGAGCUUGCUCUCUGGGUGGCGAGUGGCGGACGGGUGAGGGAUACAUCGGAAUCUACUUUUUCGUGGGGGAUAACGUAGGGAAACUUACGCUAAUACCGCAUACGACCUACGGGUGAAAGCAGGGGACCUUCGGGCCUUGCGCGAUUGAAUGAGCCGAUGUCGGAUUAGCAAGUUGGCGGGGUAAAGGCCCACCAAGGCGACGAUCCGUAGCUGGUCUGAGAGGAUAAACAGCCACACUGGAACUGAGACACGGUCCAGAUGCCUACGGGAGGCAGCAGGGGGGAAUAUUGGACAAUGGGCGCAAGCCUGAUCCAGCCAUACCGCGUGGGUGAAGAAGGCCUUCGGGUUGUAAAGCCCUUUUGUUGGGAAAGAAAUCCAGCUGGCUAAUACCCGGUUGGGAUGACGGUACCCAAAGAAUAAGCACCGGCUAACUUCGUGCCAGCAGCCGCCGUAA